AUUGAACGCUGGCGGCAGGCUUAACACAUGCAAGUCGAGCGGGGGAAGGUAGCUUGCUACUGGACCUAGCGGCGGACGGGUGAGUAAUGCUUAGGAAUCUGCCUAUUAGUGGGGGACAACAUCUCGAAAGGGAUGCUAAUCCCGCCUACGUCCUACGGGAGAAAGCAGGGGAUCUUCGGACCUUGCGCUAAUAGAUGAGCCUAAGUCGGAUUAGCUAGUUGGUGGGGUAAAGGCCUACCAAGGCGACGAUCUGUAGCGGGUCUGAGAGGAUGAUCCGCCACACUGGGACUGAGACACGGCCCAGACUCCUACGGGAGGCAGCAGUGGGGAAUAUUGGACAAUGGGGGGAACCCUGAUCCAGCCAUGCCGCGUGUGUGAAGAAGGCCUUAUGGUUGUAAAGCACUUUAAGCGAGGAGGAGGCUACUUUAGUUAAUACCUAGAGAUAGUGGACGUUACUCGCAGAAUAAGCACCGGCUAACUCUGUGCCAGCCGCCGCAGUAA
Molecule: ribosomal RNA, 501 nt
Filed under: uncultured bacterium
Lineage: Bacteria
Description: partial 16S ribosomal RNA
Rfam family: Bacterial small subunit ribosomal RNA
Source: RNAcentral